GCGUGAGUGAUGAAGGCCUUAGGGUUGUAAAGCUCUUUCGGCGGGGACGAUGAUGACGGUACCCGCAGAAGAAGCCCCGGCUAACUUCGUGCCAGCAGCCGCGGUAAUACGAAGGGGGCGAGCGUUGUUCGGAAUUACUGGGCGUAAAGGGCGCGUAGGCGGCGCCGGAAGUCAGAUGUGAAAGCCCCGGGCUCAACCUGGGAACUGCAUUUGAUACUCUGGUGCUGGAGUUCGGGAGAGGAGAGUGGAAUUCCCAGUGUAGAGGUGAAAUUCGU
Molecule: ribosomal RNA, 275 nt
Filed under: uncultured bacterium
Lineage: Bacteria
Description: partial 16S ribosomal RNA
Rfam family: Bacterial small subunit ribosomal RNA
Source: RNAcentral